UACGUCGACGAAUCUAGCGUGGCCGCAUCUCGUGUGGUCUUCCUCUUACAUCCCAGUCUGAAUCUCCUCAUGAACACGUGAGGGAGGUGAUACUGACGCGGGCGCCGCCGCAGUUCCCUUCCCUGGAAGCCUACAGCUCAAUGGGUCCUGCUCGAUGGCCGUGCUUGUCGCGUGCCCGUGGGCUGGGCGCCUGAAGCAGGGCAAGGCAGAGCAUGCCGUGGCCUAUGAACUUUGCUAUUUUUCAGGUAUCAGGAAAUGGAAUCACCUGAUGUUUGCAAGCCAUGCCCGACAUAAGAUUGUAUUUCUUGGUGUACUGUAACCGUAGAGGAUUGGUUGAUCAAGGACUCAUGUGUAAAACACUAUUGAUAGGAUGACAAUAGGAGGACAAGAGAUGCCGCAUUACCUCCCCGGCCUCUUCUUCGGCAAGGAUCUGCAGGUGGCGGCUUUUGAAGAGAACAACAGUCUUUGGACCGAGCUAACAUACCCCUGAGUCAAAGGAUUCAGUUCAUGCCUCUUAGUGUUGUUGUUUCAUUUAUGCUAGCUUCAUUAACAUGCAGCUAGAACAACAACAGAGGCACAAGCAUGAUGAAGACACUCGAGAGACCUGCAAUGACUCUCUUAUGUCUCCUCCGGCGCCCCAAACAUGCACCUAGAACAACAACAGAGACACAAGCAUGAUGAAGGCACUUGAGAGACCUGCAAUAAGUGUGCGAACCUUGGUGGAGACGAGAUAAUGGUAGUGUGAUUCAGAUUUGAGGAAACACCGUGUGACUUGCUUCUCUUCAGUAGAUGUUUACGCAUGAUAUUCUCUGCGAAAACUUGAAUUUUUUUAUGGUUUGAGUUAAUUGAUGGUAGAUUCCUAUUGUUUGUACAUAUGUUUGUUAUGCACUUACCGUUUACUCAUGAUAUAGUUUUAACUCUCAACCAUGGUUAAUAUAGUGUUCGGAGAAGAUGAGAAAGGAUCAUUUCUCUUAAAUGUUUCACCAAGGUACAUGGGUGCAACUUUGUUGUAUUGAACAUGAUUCAUUUGCAUUGGUUUAUCUUUGGGUGAUGCAGGCCCUAAUCAUAUUUACAUUUCCUUUCCGUUGUCGCUUUUAAAGACCAUGCUGCGAUGGCCGACAAUGCAUUGCCUAUGUAGAUGAUAAUUUUAGUGUUCCUUGCUUUUGUUGCUCUCGGCAAAAUCAACAACUGUUAAUUUCUAUAUUAUAUAUAUUCCUCUGGUUAUUUACUGUGGUUUGUGAUGAUUUGUA
This is a long non-coding RNA of Lolium perenne, 1250 nucleotides long. RefSeq lists it as uncharacterized. NCBI's taxonomy places the organism in Eukaryota, Viridiplantae, Streptophyta, Magnoliopsida, Poales, Poaceae. The record is from RefSeq and is a predicted model, not a curated record.